This 85-nucleotide transfer RNA is filed under the name Plantimonas leprariae. RNAcentral's name for it is "Aureimonas sp. YIM 132180 tRNA-Leu". It matches the Rfam family "tRNA". Rfam says of the family: Transfer RNA (tRNA) molecules are approximately 80 nucleotides in length. Their secondary structure includes four short double-helical elements and three loops (D, anti-codon, and T loops). Further hydrogen bonds mediate the characteristic L-shaped molecular structure. tRNAs have two regions of fundamental functional importance: the anti-codon, which is responsible for specific mRNA codon recognition, and the 3' end, to which the tRNAs corresponding amino acid is attached (by aminoacyl-tRNA synthetases). tRNAs cope with the degeneracy of the genetic code in two manners: having more than one tRNA (with a specific anti-codon) for a particular amino acid; and 'wobble' base-pairing, i.e. permitting non-standard base-pairing at the 3rd anti-codon position. The record is from RNAcentral. Lineage: Bacteria; Pseudomonadati; Pseudomonadota; Alphaproteobacteria; Hyphomicrobiales; Aurantimonadaceae.
GCGGGUGUGGCGGAAUCGGUAGACGCAGCGGACUCAAAAUCCGCCGUAGCAAUACGUGUCGGUUCGAGUCCGACCACCCGCACCA